Molecule: ribosomal RNA, 421 nt
Filed under: uncultured archaeon
Lineage: Archaea
Description: partial 16S ribosomal RNA
Rfam family: Archaeal small subunit ribosomal RNA
Source: RNAcentral
CUACGGGUCGCAGCAGCGGAACUUUUACAAUGCACGAAAGUGUGAUAAAGCGAGCCAAAGUGUUUUUCGUUUAGAAAAACUUUUUCUUAGUGUAAAAACCUAGGAGAAUAAGGACUGGGAAAGACCGGUGCCAGCCGCCGCGGUAAUACCGGCAGUUCAAGUUGCAUCCAUUUUUAUUGGGUCUAAAACAUCCGUAGCUUGCCAUUUAAGUUUCUUGUGAAAUCUCACGUCUCAAGCGUGAUGAAGUGCAGGAAAUACUGGGUGGCUAGAGAUCGGUAGACGUAAGGAGUACGCCGGAGGUAGUGGUAAAAUACGUUAAUCUUCGGUGGACUAACAAUCAGCGAAGGCACCUUACGAGGACGAAUCUGACAGUGAGGGAUGAAGGCCAGGGGCGCAAAACGGAUUAGAUACCCUGGUAGUC